Molecule: long non-coding RNA, 1134 nt
Filed under: Sus scrofa (pig)
Lineage: Eukaryota; Metazoa; Chordata; Mammalia; Artiodactyla; Suidae
Description: lncRNA (ENSSSCG00035079893.1)
Source: RNAcentral
AAUGAUUUCAUUUAUAAGGAAUCAUAUCCAUGGACACUGGAAAUUUCCAGAAUGUAAAGUAGACAAAUCUAUAGAGACAGAAAGCCAAUCAGUACUUUCCCAGGGCCGGGGGUGGGGACUGAGGGGGGUGACUGCCGCUCUGCAGGCCCGGGGGUUCCUCUUGGGGUGAUGGAAGUGCUCUAGAAUUUGUUGCACAGGAUCGUGAAUGUACCAUCUGUCACUGAACCGGGUGGUUUAAAAUAAUUAAAAUGGUUGGAGUUCCUGUUGUGGCUCAGCAGGUUAAGAACCCGACAUGGUGUCCAUGAGGAUGGGGGGUUCGAUCCCUGGCCUCGUUUAGUGGGUGAUGGAUCUGGUAUGGUCACAAGCUGCAGUGUAGGUCAAAGAUGCCACUUGGACCUGGCGUUGCUGUGGCUGGGGUGUAGACCUGCAGCUGCAGCUCCGGUUUGACCCCUGGCCUGGGAACUUCCAGAUGGGAGUUCCCUGGGGGCCUAUCAGUUAGGAAUCCAGUGUUGUCCCUGCUGUGGCACAGGUUUGAGCCCUGGUCCGGGAAUGUCUGCAUGCUGUGGGCGUGGCCAAAUAAUAAAAUAAUUGAAAUGGUGACUUUUAUGUAGAAUAAAUUUCCUAUUUGUCUCAGCGUAUUUUCCAUUCCACUUCUACACAGGGAGUCACUCAAUCUGUUUCUUCUUAAGAUCCAAGAUAUAAUAAUCUGUGUGAAUGUAAUUGUGUUUAAAUAUAUUUUAUUCUGUAAAAAAAAUAAAUAUUAAAUUAAAAAAAUAAAAUAAAAUGGUGACUUUUAUGUUAUGUGUUUUUCAUUACAUAAAAAGCUUUGUUUAAAGGAAAGGCAUGGCUGCCGGAGGAGGGUCGGUGGGGAAGCAGUAGGGCGCUCCCCAUGGCCAGGGGGUCUGGCGAAGGCAGCUGGGGCCUCCCUCUGCCCCUGCAGUGAGGGCCAUGAUUCUCCCACCACCCUGGACCCCGGCCCCCUCAUCUCCUUUACCUUCCUUCCAACUCACGCUGCCUCAAGGAACCUCCCCAGAGGGCUCCACAGGGUCACAGAACUGAUGUCCAUCAAGAAAACAGAUCCAUCCUAGCAACCGAGUUACGACAGCUGACCUUUGAGUAGAGCAAAGAAUUGCC